AGUCUUAUAUUCAAAAAUGAUAUAAAAUUGCAAAUUUUAUGGUGUAAAAUUACUAAGGCUU
This 61-nucleotide transfer RNA is filed under the name Sasakia funebris. Its description in RNAcentral is "tRNA-Cys". The record is from RNAcentral. Lineage: Eukaryota; Metazoa; Arthropoda; Insecta; Lepidoptera; Nymphalidae.